GUUGAACGCUGGCGGCGUGCCUAAUACAUGCAAGUCGAGCGAACAGACGAGGAUCUUGCUCCUCUGACGUUAGCGGCGGAUGGGUGAGUAACACGUGGAUACCCUACCUUUAGGACUGGGAUAACUUCGGGAAACCGGAGCCAACAUCGGACAAUAUGUUGAACCGCAUGGUUCAAUAGUGAAAGACGGAUUUGCUGUCACUUAUAGAUGGAUCCGCGCCGCAUUAGCUAGUUGGUAAGGUAACGGCUUACCAAGGCUACGAUGCGUAGCCGACCUGAGAGGGUGAUCGGCCACACUGGAACUGAGACACGGUCCAGACUCCUACGGGAGGCAGCAGUAGGGAAUCUUCCGCAAUGGGCGAAAGCCUGACGGAGCAACGCCGCGUGAGUGAUGAAGGUCUUCGGAUCGUAAAACUCUGUUAUUAGGGAAGAACAAAUGUGUGAGUAACUAUGCACGUCUUGACGGUACCUAAUCAGAAAGCCACGGCUAACUACGUG
Molecule: ribosomal RNA, 497 nt
Filed under: uncultured bacterium
Lineage: Bacteria
Description: partial 16S ribosomal RNA
Rfam family: Bacterial small subunit ribosomal RNA
Source: RNAcentral